This is a long non-coding RNA of Venturia canescens, 737 nucleotides long. RefSeq lists it as uncharacterized. NCBI's taxonomy places the organism in Eukaryota, Metazoa, Arthropoda, Insecta, Hymenoptera, Ichneumonidae. The record is from RefSeq and is a predicted model, not a curated record. The transcript has 2 exons.
GUUCUCUCUUUGGUUAGGCGAGCUGAUCUCGCUGCGCUCGCUGCUUUUGUGAGCACGAACGCGCAGUAUUAUAUUAUUAUCUUUCUCCGUAGCCGAACACGCUGAGAAAUUGAAUUUGCCUCAGAGCCGUGAAUUAGCGUUGGGAUGCAUAUAGCGGAGCUUAAAGCUCGAAUGCAAAAAUCCUUCGUAACCUUAUUUCUGGUCUGUUCUGCUGCAUUGUGUCAGGGCUCGUUUCGGGGACGUUAAAAUCGUUAAAUGCUCCAUCGAACCAAUUCGAGAGGAGACACUUCCGGACGGAUCGUCCUCGCUCCUGUAAUGUUGAACUUGAAAAAAAUGAAAUGAAAGAUAAGCACAUUUUUUCAUUCGUACCUGAACCACAAUUUUUAUUGCUUCCUUAAUAUUCACACGUUCACUGAAUCCCAUACAUUCGUGAUAAAAAUAAAUACUUUUAUAAAAAUAUAAAUCUUGGUUCGACGUGAAUUUUUAUCGAGAAAAAUUCUCGUCCCAGUUUGCCAUUCGUUCUCUUCCCUAUUCGUUAUUUCCCCCACGAUUAUCAGCGAGUAACAGAACGAUAUUUACAAGUAGACAUAAAUCUCCGUGUUACUUUGGAGCGUAGGAAAAAACUGGUAAAUUCUUAGUAGAGAAAAUAGUGAGGAAUUUAAACGAUUGAACAUUUUUAGUUUAUGCGAAUGUUCGGGGAGUUGUAUGAACUCGCGAAAAAUGAACAAUUUUCUAAA